RNAcentral lists this ribosomal RNA (448 nucleotides) under uncultured bacterium. RNAcentral describes it as "bacterial SSU rRNA". It matches the Rfam family "Bacterial small subunit ribosomal RNA", at positions 329 to 794 of the family's 1533-position model. The record is from RNAcentral.
UACCAGACUCCUACGGGAGGCAGCAGUGGGGAAUAUUGCACAAUGGGGGAAACCCUGAUGCAGCGACGCCGCGUGAGCGAUGAAGUAUUUCGGUAUGUAAAGCUCUAUCGGCAGGGAAGAAGAUGACGGUACCUGACUAAGAAGCCCCGGCUAACUACGUGCCAGCAGCCGCGGUAAUACGUAGGGGGCAAGCGUUAUCCGGAUUUACUGGGUGUAAAGGGAGCGUAGACGGCGGCGCAAGCCAGAUGUGAAAGCCCGGGGCUCAACUCCGGGACUGCAUUUGGAACUGUGUGGCUGGAGUGUCGGAGAGGCAGGCGGAAUUCCUAGUGUAGCGGUGAAAUGCGUAGAUAUUAGGAGGAACACCAGUGGCGAAGGCGGCCUGCUGGACGAUGACUGACGUUGAGGCUCGAAAGCGUGGGGAGCAAACAGGAUUAGAUACCCGAGUAGC